Molecule: ribosomal RNA, 497 nt
Filed under: uncultured bacterium
Lineage: Bacteria
Description: partial 16S ribosomal RNA
Rfam family: Bacterial small subunit ribosomal RNA
Source: RNAcentral
GAUGAACGCUGGCGGCGUGCCUAAUACAUGCAAGUCGAGCGAACAGAUGAGGAGCUUGCUCCUCUGACGUUAGCGGCGGACGGGUGAGUAACACGUGGAUAACCUACCUAUAAGACUGGGAUAACUUCGGGAAACCGGAGCUAAUACCGGAUAAUAUAUUGAACCGCAUGGUUCAAUAGUGAAAGACGGUUUUGCUGUCACUUAUAGAUGGAUCCGCGCCGCAUUAGCUAGUUGGUAAGGUAACGGCUUACCAAGGCAACGAUGCGUAGCCGACCUGAGAGGGUGAUCGGCCACACUGGAACUGAGACACGGUCCAGACUCCUACGGGAGGCAGCAGUAGGGAAUCUUCCGCAACGGGCGAAAGCCUGACGGAGCAACGCCGCGUGAGUGAUGAAGGUCUUCGGAUCGUAAAACUCUGUUAUUAGGGAAGAACAAAUGUGUAAGUAACUAUGCACGUCUUGACGGUACAUAAUCAGAAAGCCGCGGCUAACUACGUG